CCUACGGGCGGCAGCAGUGGGGAAUAUUGCACAAUGGGGGAAACCCUGAUGCAGCGACGCCGCGUGAGUGAAGAAGUAAUUCGUUAUGUAAAGCUCUAUCAGCAGGGAAGAAAAUGACGGUACCUGAGUAAGAAGCCCCGGCUAACUACGGGCCAGCAGCCGCGGUAAUACGUAGGGGGCAAGCGUUAUCCGGAUUUACUGGGUGGAAAGGGAGCGUAGACGGCAGUGCAAGUCUGGAGUGAAAGGCGGGGGCUCAACCCCCGGACUGCUCUGGAAACUGUACGGCUGGAGUGCAGGAGAGGUAAGUGGAAUUCCUAGUGUAGCGGUGAAAUGCGUAGAUAUUAGGAGGAACACCAGUGGCGAAGGCGGCUUACUGGACUGUAACUGACGUUGCGGCUCGAAAGCGUGGGGAGCAAACAGUAUUAGAUACCCCAGUAGUC
RNAcentral lists this ribosomal RNA (440 nucleotides) under uncultured bacterium. RNAcentral describes it as "partial 16S ribosomal RNA". It matches the Rfam family "Bacterial small subunit ribosomal RNA", at positions 338 to 795 of the family's 1533-position model. The record is from RNAcentral.